CCUACGGGUGGCAGCAGUAGGGAAUCUUGCACAAUGGGCGCAAGCCUGAUGGAGCAACACCGCGUGAGUGAAGAAGGCUUUCGGCUCGUAAAGCUCUUUUGUUGGGGAAGAACGUGCUAGAGAGUAACUGUUCACGCAGUGACGGUAUCCAACCAGAAAGUCACGGCUAACUACGUGCCAGCAGCCGCGGUAAUACGGAGGGUGCAAGCAUUAUCCGGAUUUAUUGGGCGUAAAGCGAGCGCAGGCGGUCGCUUAGGUCUGAUGUGAAAGCCUUGGGCUUAACCGAAGAAAUGCAUCGGAAACUGGGCGACUUGAGUGCAGAAGAGGAGAGUAGAACUCCAGGUGUAGCGGUGGAAUGCGUAGAUAUAUGGAAGAACACCAGUGGCGAAGGCGGCUGCCUGGUCUGAAACUGACGCUGAGGUGCGAAAGCAUGGGUAGCGAACAGGAUUAGAUACCCCGGUAGUC
This 465-nucleotide ribosomal RNA is filed under the name uncultured bacterium. RNAcentral describes it as "partial 16S ribosomal RNA". It matches the Rfam family "Bacterial small subunit ribosomal RNA", at positions 338 to 795 of the family's 1533-position model. The record is from RNAcentral.